This 491-nucleotide ribosomal RNA is filed under the name uncultured bacterium. Its description in RNAcentral is "partial 16S ribosomal RNA". It matches the Rfam family "Bacterial small subunit ribosomal RNA", at positions 29 to 506 of the family's 1533-position model. The record is from RNAcentral.
AGUGAACGCUGGCGGUAGGCCUAACACAUGCAAGUCGAACGGCAGCACAGUAAGAGCUUGCUCUUACGGGUGGCGAGUGGCGGACGGGUGAGGAAUACAUCGGAAUCUACUUUUUCGUGGGGGAUAACGUAGGGAAACUUACGCUAAUACCGCAUACGACCUACGGGUGAAAGCAGGGGAUCUUCGGACCUUGCGCGAUUGAAUGAGCCGAUGUCGGAUUAGCUAGUUGGCGGGGUAAAGGCCCACCAAGGCGACGAUCCAUAGCUGGUCUGAGAGGAUGAUCAGCCACACUGGAACUGAGACACGGUCCAGACUCCUACGGGAGGCAGCAGUGGGGAAUAUUGGACAAUGGGCGCAAGCCUGAUCCAGCCAUACCGCGUGGGUGAAGAAGGCCUUCGGGUUGUAAAGCCCUUUUGUUGGGAAAGAAAAGCAGCAGGUUAAUACCCCGCUGUUCUGACGGUACCCAAAGAAUAAGCACCGGCUAACUUCGU